CUGAUUAGUAUAAACAGCUCUUGAUACAUAUUCUUACACCGGACAACAAAAGCUGCUGUAUCUUGUAAUAUUCUUUUAUUGUCUUAGUUUAAGCAGUACGAUAAUAAUGGUGUGAUGGUACCCCAGAUUUGUUUUGAAAGGAUAGUUUUCAAAAUGCUUUUUUUUAUGCCCCACCUACGUUAGUAGAGGGGCAUUAUGUUUUCUGGUCUGUGCGUCCGUUCGUUCGUCCGUCCGUCUGUCCCGCUUCAGGUUAAAGUUUUUGGUCAAGGUAGUUUUUGAUGAAGUUGAAGUCCAAUCAACUUGAAACUUAGUAUACAUGUGCCCUAUGAUAUGAUCUUUCUAAUUUAAAUGCCAAAUUAGAGUUUUUGACCCA
This 373-nucleotide long non-coding RNA is filed under the name Mytilus galloprovincialis (Mediterranean mussel). The record is from RNAcentral. Lineage: Eukaryota; Metazoa; Mollusca; Bivalvia; Mytilida; Mytilidae.